AAGUCGUAACAAGGUUUCCGUAGGUGAACCUGCGGAAGGAUCAUUAACAAAUUCAAAAACUGACAUCCCACUUCACGGUUUGGCUUCUUUUUCAUCCUCAUUAACAGUGAUGAUGGGGGAGGGGUUGAGCUUUGAGGUGGGGUCUAACAUACACACUUUGAUUGACAACACCUAGUGAUAUCUAGUUAAUCGUAGACAACUUUUAACAAUGGAUCUCUUGGCUCUU
RNAcentral lists this unclassified non-coding RNA (226 nucleotides) under fungal sp. RNAcentral's name for it is "partial internal transcribed spacer region". The stretch from base 1 to 46 matches the Rfam family "Eukaryotic small subunit ribosomal RNA", at positions 1786 to 1831 of the family's 1831-position model. Lineage: Eukaryota; Fungi. The record is from RNAcentral.